AGAGUUUGAUCAUGGCUCAGGAUGAACGCUAGCUACAGGCUUAACACAUGCAAGUCGAGGGGAAACGACAUCGAAAGCUUGCUUUUGAUGGGCGUCGACCGGCGCACGGGUGAGUAACGCGUGGGCAACCUGCCUCACACUGGGGGAUAACAGUUAGAAAUAGCUGCUAAUACCGCAUAAGCGCACGGUUCCGCAUGGAACAGUGUGAAAAACUCCGGUGGUGUGAGAUGGACCCGCGUCUGAUUAGCCAGUUGGCGGGGUAACGGCCCACCAAAGCGACGAUCAGUAGCCGGCCUGAGAGGGUGAACGGCCACAUUGGGACUGAGACACGGCCCAAACUCCUACGGGAGGCAGCA
Molecule: ribosomal RNA, 356 nt
Filed under: uncultured bacterium
Lineage: Bacteria
Description: bacterial SSU rRNA
Rfam family: Bacterial small subunit ribosomal RNA
Source: RNAcentral